UUUAGAGUUUGAUCCCUGGCUCAGGAUGAACGCUGGCGGCGUGCCUAAUACAUGCAAGUCGAGCGAAUGGAUUAAGAGCUUGCUCUUAUGAAGUUAGCGGCGGACGGGUGAGUAACACGUGGGUAACCUGCCCAUAAGACUGGGAUAACUCCGGGAAACCGGGGCUAAUACCGGAUAACAUUUUGAACCGCAUGGUUCGAAAUUGAAAGGCGGCUUCGGCUGUCACUUAUGGAUGGACCCGCGUCGCAUUAGCUAGUUGGUGAGGUAACGGCUCACCAAGGCAACGAUGCGUAGCCGACCUGAGAGGGUGAUCGGCCACACUGGGACUGAGACACGGCCCAGACUCCUACGGGAGGCAGCAGUAGGGAAUCUUCCGCAAUGGACGAAAGUCUGACGGAGCAACGCCGCGUGAGUGAUGAAGGCUUUCGGGUCGUAAAACUCUGUUGUUAGGGAAGAACAAGUGCUAGUUGAAUAAGCUGGCACCUAGACGGUACCUAACCAGAAAGCCACG
This 511-nucleotide ribosomal RNA is filed under the name Bacillus cereus. RNAcentral describes it as "bacterial SSU rRNA". It matches the Rfam family "Bacterial small subunit ribosomal RNA", at positions 1 to 495 of the family's 1533-position model. Lineage: Bacteria; Bacillati; Bacillota; Bacilli; Caryophanales; Bacillaceae. The record is from RNAcentral.